This 207-nucleotide ribosomal RNA is filed under the name uncultured bacterium. RNAcentral describes it as "partial 16S ribosomal RNA". It matches the Rfam family "Bacterial small subunit ribosomal RNA", at positions 568 to 774 of the family's 1533-position model. The record is from RNAcentral.
CAUGUAGGCGGUUGUUUAAGUCUGAUGUGAAAGCCCUGGGCUCAACCCAGGAAGUGCAUUGGAUACUGGAUAACUUGAGUACGGGAGAGGAAAGUGGAAUUUCGAGUAUAGGGGUGAAAUCCGUAGAUAUUCGAAGGAACACCAGUGGCGAAGGCGGCUUUCUGGACCGAUACUGACGCUGAGAUGCGAAAGCGUGGGGAGCAAACA